CCAGGGCCUGGCCCAUGAGGUGGAAGACCUGGGUGUUGUCCAGAAGCCCCAGGUUCUGGAAGCCUAGGCCCUGGCC
RNAcentral lists this transfer RNA (76 nucleotides) under Thermus composti. RNAcentral describes it as "tRNA-Asn". The record is from RNAcentral. Lineage: Bacteria; Thermotogati; Deinococcota; Deinococci; Thermales; Thermaceae.